Molecule: long non-coding RNA, 927 nt
Organism: Sphaerodactylus townsendi
Lineage: Eukaryota; Metazoa; Chordata; Lepidosauria; Squamata; Sphaerodactylidae
Exons: 2
Source: RefSeq, a predicted model, not a curated record
CAGUCACAAAGGGUAGUCAAUUAUAUCUCAUGACCGAUGAAACCGGUUGUUUACCAGGUGUCUUAGCACUAGCAAUUAGAGAAGUUGGCCAGUUAAGCAUCACUUUAUGCAGCUGUGUCAGGUCCAAUUAAUAAGCUUUCUCUCCCACCUGUGUGCUCAGCCAUUAAUGAAAUGGAAUAACCCCCCACCCCACUAUGUCCUUGAGGCUUUUAUGCUUAGUGAUGUGAACUGCAUCUCCCUCAUAAUACUCUGAAGGUAUAAACAGCUUGACUUGAGUUUUUAGUAUAGAAAAAAACUUCCAUUUUUUUCCUAGGCCUCAGCCUGAACUUCUGUUUUGAGCAAGAAACUGCUUAAAGGAACCAGUUUCUUGAUAAGUACUCCAAAGGAUUAUUGAAGGUAUAGUCGAUGAAGGAUUGCAAUAUCAAAAAGGACUAAGGGACUCCAAGUGGGAAAUGGGGCCUGGUUAUAUUAUCUCACAGUGAGUCUACAGAAACUUGGAACCAGCCCUGGUGCAAAGACAACACUGGUGUCAAUGAUGGUGUUCUUGACUGCUUGAAGAAAAUUGUUGGUCACCGCAAGAGAUUAGAAGGAUGUGGAAUGAAAGGGCUGGCCCAUAGAAUUUGGGUACAGUAAUAACAACGGAAGAGACAUUUAUCUGAAAAGUUAUUUUUUAAAAAACGGAAACCCAUUUUAUUUCUGAGUCUGGAAAGAUAUUGAGAAGAUGGGUAGACUUGUGGAUGCUGUCUGAUUGAACACCCUGUCUCCAAAUGGAUUGGGUAGAGCUAGUUUGGAGAAAGGUAGAGCUAGUUUGGAGUCUCUCUUUAGCUGUGCUGAGGAGUUAUGUUUAAGAGUGCCUACCAGCUCUGGAAAAGUCUCUCUGCGUCUUAAGCAUUGACUUAAAAUAAAAGCAGCUGCUCCUCUAUUUAA